Molecule: ribosomal RNA, 856 nt
Filed under: Mogannia minuta
Lineage: Eukaryota; Metazoa; Arthropoda; Insecta; Hemiptera; Cicadidae
Description: SSU rRNA
Rfam family: Eukaryotic small subunit ribosomal RNA
Source: RNAcentral
GCCAUGCAAGUCUCAGUACAUGCCUAACUAAGGUGAAACCGCAAAAGGCUCAUUAAAUCAGUUAUGGUUCCUUGGAUCUUAAACAGUUACUUGGAUAACUGUGGUAAUUCUAGAGCUAAUACAUGCAAACAAGUCCCGACCAGAGAUGGGAGGGACGCUUUUAUUAGAUCAAAACCGAUCGGCGUCCGGCUCCGGCCGGUGCCGUCUCUUUUGGUGACUCUGGAUAACUUUUAGCCGAUCGCACGGUCACAGUACCGGCGACGCAUCUUUCAAAUGUCUGACUUAUCAACUGUCGAUGGUAGGCUCUGCGCCUACCAUGGUUGUAACGGGUAACGGGGAAUCAGGGUUCGAUUCCGGAGAGGGAGCCUGAGAAACGGCUACCACAUCCAAGGAAGGCAGCAGGCGCGCAAAUUACCCACUCCCGGCACGGGGAGGUAGUGACGAAAAAUAACGAUACGGGACUCAUCCGAGGCCCCGUAAUCGGAAUGAGUACACUUUAAAUACUUUAACGAGUACCAAUUGGAGGGCAAGUCUGGUGCCAGCAGCCGCGGUAAUUCCAGCUCCAAUAGCGUAUAUUAAAGUUGUUGCGGUUAAAAAGCUCGUAGUUGGAUCUGUGUGCCACGCUGUCGGUUCACCGCCUGUCGGUGUCAACUGGCAUGUCUGUGGGACGUCCUGCCGGUGGCGGUACGGGCUGUCGGCGCUGCGUAGGGGCUCGCCUCCGAAGCACGCCGGCGUGUUCCGGUCCGCCGAUUCAAUCCCGCCGCGGUGCUCUUCACUGAGUGUCGAGGUGGGCCGGCACGUUUACUUUGAACAAAUUAGAGUGCUCAAAUCAGGUCGUAUUUAGGCCUGAAUACUG